AACGAACGCUGGCGGCAUGCCUAACACAUGCAAGUCGAACGAGACCUUCGGGUCUAGUGGCGCACGGGUGCGUAACGCGUGGGAACCUGCCCUUAGGUUCGGAAUAACUCCCCGAAAGGGGUGCUAAUACCGGAUAAUGUCUUCGGACCAAAGAUUUAUCGCCUUUGGAUGGGCCCGCGUUGGAUUAGCUAGUUGGUAGGGUAAAAGCCUACCAAGGCGACGAUCCAUAGCUGGUCGGAGAGGAUGAUCAGCCACACUGGGACUGAGACACGGCCCAGACUCCUACGGGAGGCAGCAGUGGGGAAUAUUGGACAAUGGGCGAAAGCCUGAUUCAGCAAUGCCGCGUGAGUGAUGAAGGCCUUAGGGUUGUAAAGCUCUUUUACCCGGGAUGAUAAUGACAGUACCGGGAGAAUAAGCUCCGGCUAACUCCGUG
RNAcentral lists this ribosomal RNA (433 nucleotides) under uncultured bacterium. RNAcentral's name for it is "partial 16S ribosomal RNA". It matches the Rfam family "Bacterial small subunit ribosomal RNA", at positions 29 to 507 of the family's 1533-position model. The record is from RNAcentral.